RNAcentral lists this ribosomal RNA (253 nucleotides) under uncultured bacterium. Its description in RNAcentral is "partial 16S ribosomal RNA". It matches the Rfam family "Bacterial small subunit ribosomal RNA", at positions 524 to 776 of the family's 1533-position model. The record is from RNAcentral.
UACGUAGGGUGCAAGCGUUGUCCGGAAUUAUUGGGCGUAAAGAGCUCGUAGGCGGUUUGUCGCGUCGGCUGUGAAAACCUGGGGCUCAACCCCGGGCCUGCAGCCGAUACGGGCAAACUAGAGUUCGGCAGGGGAGACUGGAAUUCCUGGUGUAGCGGUGAAAUGCGCAGAUAUCAGGAGGAACACCGGUGGCGAAGGCGGGUCUCUGGGCCGAUACUGACGCUGAGACGCGAAAGCGUGGGGAGCAAACAGG